UGGGGAAUUGUUCGCAAUGGGCGCAAGCCUGACGACGCAACGCCGCGUGGAGGAUGAAGGUCUUCGGAUUGUAAACUCCUGUUGACCGGGACGAAUGGGCGACGACCUAACACGUCGGAGCAGUGACGGUACCGGUUGAGGAAGCCACGGCUAACUCUGUGCCAGCAGCCGCGGUAAUACAGAGGUGGCAAGCGUUGUUCGGAAUUACUGGGCGUAAAGGGCGCGUAGGCGGCCUUCUCAGUCGGACGUGAAAUCCCCAGGCUUAACUUGGGAACUGCGUCCGAUACUGGAUGGCUUGAGUGCGGGAGAGGGAUGUGGAAUUCCAGGUGUAGCGGUGAAAUGCGUAGAUAUCUGGAGGAACACCGGUGGCGAAGGCGGCAUCCUGGACCGACACUGACGCUGAUGCGCGAAAGCCAGGGGAGCAAACGG
RNAcentral lists this ribosomal RNA (429 nucleotides) under uncultured bacterium. RNAcentral describes it as "bacterial SSU rRNA". It matches the Rfam family "Bacterial small subunit ribosomal RNA", at positions 355 to 775 of the family's 1533-position model. The record is from RNAcentral.